GGCUGCUUGUCUCUCUCUAUCAGUGCUUCAAGUAUGAAAGCUGUGUUUGCACUGCGUUUAUUUUGGAGUUAACUGUGUUCUUUGUCAAUCCCCUGUGAUUAGAUUAGUGGGUGUGAUGAAGUUGGGUUGGUUUACUCGUCAGGAUCAAUAGUUCACCUUUGAAACUCUGCAUACAUGUGGAAGAAUAGCUUAUCAUGUUAGAAAUCCUCCUGAUUUGUUCAGGUAGUGCUCUAAUUUGAACUCACCUGUGUAGCUGUGGCGACUGACGGCUCUCGGCCUUGAGAUGUUUCACUGAAUGGAGACUGAAAAUUGAAGAGCUGCAGGAUCACAAACACACCAUUGAAGCCACAGCAGCCUGAAGUCUCUUUCUCGGGCUCCAUCACAUCAUGCAGGUGAAACCUGGGCUCAGCAGGCAGCUGCACUGAACGUCUCACCAGCUCCCUGUACAGGACAGGAUAAGAAUUACAGGAAUAAACAUGUACUGGAAUAUUUAUAAAGGCAUGAUCCACGUUCAGUCCGGUCUUGGCGCUGGUCUCCAGGAAAAUGACCCCAUACUCCUGCCAAAACCAUAUGAAGAAGUUUGAAUGUAGCAGGGUUGUUACAGUUUUUAAUUUUAUUUUCAAUUGGUCAUUCCAAUUUAGUUUGGUUUUCACUCUUUAAAUGUUUAACUGAUGCAUUUAAAGCUGCACUAUGUAAGAUUUUGUGGUUAAAAAUGAACAAAUUGCCAUUAUUGAUUGAGUACAUCAACAAACAGUGUUUAAAACGUUACCCCGAUUCACUACUGUAAACCUAUAAAUAUGAUUUGUAUUUUGAGCUGUCGGGUUCGAUUUGCAUCAUUACGUCAUGUCCGCACACACAGGAAAGAAGUGCCGUCCGUCUCGUGUUCCGGCUGCAGAAACGAACUACACUGUUCAGUUCAGGACAGCAUCACUGCAGUCUAGAUGGAUGUUUAUCUGUUAUCUGUUUAAGUUGUUUACCUGCUAUAAUGCUGAAUAUGUUGUCUGGUAUUGUUGUUGAAGCUUAUAUAUGGAGUGGUGUUGGCAUAGUGGACUAAAGCACUGAACUGGUAAGCAGAAGGUUGCUGGUUCGAUCCCCACAGCCACCACCAUUGUGUCCUUGAGCAAGGCACUUAACUCCAGGUUGCUCCAGGGGGAUUGUCCCUGUAAUAAGGGUACUGUAAUUCGCUUUGGAUAAAAGCGUCUGCCAAAUGCAUAAAUGUAAAUGUUAUAUUGUUUGUCAUGCUUUUAUGAAUGGAACAUUACUUGUGUGUUAACCGAUCGUGAUGUAUCUACAUUGUUUAUCUUCAUCAAAGCAAGUAAUAUUUCCAUUUCAAAUGUUUAAAGAGCAGCUAUUAUGGUUUUUCAAAUAUUAUCUUUCAUGUAGUGUGUUAUAUAGCUGUUUGUGAAUGUAAAAAAGUCUGCAAAGUUUCUAAAAUCAAAGUGCACGACAAAUGGAGUUAUUGACUCCCAAAAGAAAGAACCGAUUCUGAACACCUGAAACGAGUCGUUAGUAAUUCCAGACUUACUUCCUGUACUAACCUACAUAAUUUGGUAACAAAAAACCCGCCUCUGGUCUUCAUUGGCUGCUCGCGAACAGCUUUGACCCGCCCUCAAACACUACACUAAGCGGUAGACCAAUCACAACAGACUGGGACAUCUGACCAAUCAGAGCAGAGUAUGCUCUCUGAAAGGAGGAGUUUAGAAUGAAUCCUUUAGAACGGAUCAUUGAACGAGUCGUUUUUGACACUGAGAAAAAAAGGUAACGCUGCAAUUUAAAUUAUGAGCAAAUUAAAGUGUUUUUUUGACCUUGGAUGUAUGUACAUCUAUUGUGUGAGACCUUUAAAACAAAAUUAGGCACGUUUAAAAACCAUAAUAGGUGCUCUUUAAUCGUAUAACAUAAUAUCAACAUGAAAAUAGCACACAGGAAAUGUCCAGUUAAGCUCAAACUGGCCGAAACACGACUGACGUAAAGUGUUCUUCCGCAUGCAAUUUCAAGUUUCAACCACAGAUGUCGCUAGAGAGCACAAAGUUACAUAGUGCAGCUGUAACUGAUAAGUUUGGUUUGUUUUUCAGAUUUUUCUAGUUUCAGUUUAGUAUUUUAUGGCUGCCAAAGCUAUCAUUUAAAUAUGCUUGAUGUCAUUACAUUUCUCAGGGCAGUCUUGUGUUACCGCUAUCAUUUUCAUGUUUAAUUAAGGCGGAUUGUAAAUGCUGAUGUAGUAUAUCAGAGUAGAGCAUUUUCCAUGGAAAGUUCCAAUAUUUUUAAGAUUUAUUAAAAGUGGACAACACAGUACCUUUACAGGUUUUCCAUGACCGUAUAGGAACACUGACUAGUACAGAG
Myxocyprinus asiaticus (Chinese sucker) is the source of this 2337-nucleotide long non-coding RNA. RefSeq lists it as uncharacterized. Lineage: Eukaryota; Metazoa; Chordata; Actinopteri; Cypriniformes; Catostomidae. The record is from RefSeq and is a predicted model, not a curated record. The transcript is spliced from 3 exons.